GAUGAACGCUGGCGGCGUGCCUAACACAUGCAAGUCGAGCGAAGCACUCUACCUGAUUUCUUCGGGAUGAAGGUUUAGUGACUGAGCGGCGACGGGUGAGUAACGCGUGGUAACCUGCUCAUACAGGGGGAUAACAGUUAGAAAUGACUGCUAAUACCGCAUAAGACCACAGCACCGCAUGGUGCAGGGGUAAAAACUCCGGUGGUAUGAGAUGGAUCCGCGUCUGAUUAGCUAGUUGGCGGGGUAACGGCCCACCAAGGCGACGAUCAGUAGCCGGUCUGAGAGGAUGAACGGCCACAUUGGGACUGAGAUACGGCCCAG
RNAcentral lists this ribosomal RNA (321 nucleotides) under uncultured bacterium. RNAcentral describes it as "bacterial SSU rRNA". It matches the Rfam family "Bacterial small subunit ribosomal RNA", at positions 28 to 334 of the family's 1533-position model. The record is from RNAcentral.